CCGCUUCAAAUGUGGGACUUUAACCCCUCGUCUUCUUUGAUCUCCUCUUAUCCAUGCACUAUGAGAAUGUCUCCUUAGGGCCUUCGAAAUUGACUCAGGGAGAUGGGCGUCAAUGGCUCACCUCGACAAUGCAACUAUGGGAAAGAUUCCGCUUGAACUCGAAGGCGGGUUCAUGCGAAGAAAAGAUACAUGAAUUAAUAUACGUUCGCAAGAAUUCUAAUUCACAUAACACAUAUAGACAUAUGAACUAUGAAAGCACCUAAAUACAUAAAUUCUAGGAUUAUAAGAUUACAACACUUGCGGGCUCAUAGUUAAUGAUUAAAUCAAUUAUAACACUCCACAAAUGAACUCACACUUCAUAAACCCAAAUUAUUUGCACAUGAAUGUAUGCUUUGGUCAUUUCUAAACAAAUGAGUACAAAACACAUAGUAUCCAAACUAAUGCACCAUAAUUAGGAUGAACAAUGAAAAAAAAUAAUAUACAAAACUUAAGAUAUAUAGAGACUAAUUUAUUAUGCUCAAAUAUAUGAACUCUGACUUGAUAGAUACUUACAGUCAUACAGUAAACAAACUAUGAAUACAUUCGAUGCUUUAUUCUUAACAAUGUGAAUCAUUCAGCAUAUCAAUAACUCAGUUGUCACUUACAAUAAGAUGAACUAGAACUCUCAAAUAUGCAAACAUACCACCUAUGAUCGAUUAAGGCAUACGAAUAAUUAAACUUAAAAUUCUAGUCACAUGGGCUUUGUAAAUACAUACUGUAAAAGGAAAAAAUAAUUACAACAGUCAUGAUAGAAAAUAAGCAAGUCAUGACAUCUAAUCAUAUUCAAAUGAACAACCUUCAAUAUGCAGGUACAAAACAUGUUAGUGUAUAAUUCUAUUAACUUGAAUGAUGCAAUUAAAUGGAGUAAACUUCGUACACUAAAAAAGGGGGUCAAAUGCCGGAAUCUGUAGACGAUGCUAGUUCAGGACUAGGGAAGUAUAAAGAAAUGCAAAUCACUGAAGCAUUUUCUCAACCAGAAUAAGGCAAGAUGACUAAAUCAAAGAAACCAAAGAAGGUCAUGCUUAAAUAGAGAACACAACUAAUUUUAUCCCCAUACUAAAUCAAACAUGAAGUCGUAAUUUUCUAUGAAUCAAAUGACACCAAAAUAUGAUAUUUUCAUGUUACUAGAAACAAAAGAGAACAGUUUGCAGGUUAUUUUGAGAACUUCAUGCCUAAACAUCACCACGCAAUCUAGCCCAAAAGACUGAAUGGACACAAAAAUAGAAGCAAAAAUGACAUAUAAACGCAAAAUCCAUCCGACAGGAGAUAUUCAAAAAAAUAGACAGUCGUGAUGCUCCAUUCCCGUGAUGAAGAAAAAUCAGACUAUUCUCUAAAUGGACAUAUUUGGAUGCACAAUUAUUGUGUUUAUCUCUCUAACCCGACCACAUACUGAAAAAAAGCUCUAGAGAGACAAAAAGAGGUAGAAAUUCCAAUCCACAUAUGCGAAGACAUAGCAAAUAAAGCUAAAGGGGAAGUGAUGGGGCAUUAUUAUCAACAUCAUCCUCUUUCUGACAAACUAAAAAUAAAUUUUGAUAGCCAGAAUGGUCAUCGACGAAUCAUAGGAUUUGCUAGGUUUUAUUAGAUGUAUCCUCAUUAUUAUUUAUCAUUUGAGAAGCCGAAGAAAUCAAGAGGAAGUCCUGCUAACAUUAAGCUAAUAACGACAAACAAGUUGAUGAUAAAUACUAACAAUGAACAAAACACCCUCAGCCCAAAAUCAUUAAACAAGAUCGAAGCAAAAAGGUUUUAACAAUGAGGCCAACUACAACAAAGCACCAUCAACCCAAAAUGGUCAAAGCACGAAACUUUAACAUAAAAUCAGCUAUAACAAGAUACCAUCAACUCGAAACUAACAAAGUACAAAAUUUUAACAUAGAAUUAGCUAUAAUAGGAUACCAUCAACAUGAAAAAACUAUUAAACAAACUCAAAGCAUGAAACUUUAC
This 1980-nucleotide long non-coding RNA is filed under the name Capsicum annuum. Its description in RNAcentral is "long non-coding RNA (CANN_LNC011979)". Lineage: Eukaryota; Viridiplantae; Streptophyta; Magnoliopsida; Solanales; Solanaceae. The record is from RNAcentral.